RNAcentral lists this ribosomal RNA (465 nucleotides) under uncultured bacterium. Its description in RNAcentral is "partial 16S ribosomal RNA". It matches the Rfam family "Bacterial small subunit ribosomal RNA", at positions 28 to 507 of the family's 1533-position model. The record is from RNAcentral.
GACGAACGCUGGCGGCGUGCUUAACACAUGCAAGUCGAACGGAAAGGCCCCUUUGUGGUUACUCGAGUGGCUAACGGGCGAGUAACACGUGAGUAACCUACCCUUGACUUCGUGAUAACUUCAGGAAACUGGGGCUAAUACCUGAUAGGAAUCCUUGCUGCAUGGUGGGGGUUGGAAAGCUUCGGGGGUCUGGGAUGGACUUGCGGCUUAUCAGCUUGUUGGUGGGGUGGGGGCUUACCAAGGCUUUGACGGGUAGCCGGCCUGGGAGGGCGACCGGCCACAAUGGGACUGAGAUACGGCCCAGACUCCUACGGGGGGCAGGAGGGGGGAAUAUUGCACAAUGGGGGGGAGCCUGAUGCAGGAACGCCGCGGGGGGGAUGACGGCCUUCGGGUUGUAAAACGCUUUCAGCAGGGGCGAAGCUUGUGGUGACGGUACCGGGAGAAGAAGCACCGGCUAACUACGUG